RNAcentral lists this ribosomal RNA (433 nucleotides) under uncultured bacterium. Its description in RNAcentral is "partial 16S ribosomal RNA". It matches the Rfam family "Bacterial small subunit ribosomal RNA", at positions 29 to 507 of the family's 1533-position model. The record is from RNAcentral.
AACGAACGCUGGCGGCAUGCCUAACACAUGCAAGUCGAACGAUGCCUUCGGGCCUAGUGGCGCACGGGUGCGUAACGCGUGGGAAUCUGCCUUUCGGUUCGGAAUAACUCAGGGAAACUUGAGCUAAUACCGGAUAACGUCGCAAGACCAAAGAUUUAUCACCGAAAGAUGAGCCCGCGUAGGAUUAGCUAGUUGGUGAGGUAAAGGCUCACCAAGGCGACGAUCCUUAGCUGGUCUGAGAGGAUGAUCAGCCACACUGGGACUGAGACACGGCCCAGACUCCUACGGGAGGCAGCAGUGGGGAAUAUUGGACAAUGGGCGAAAGCCUGAUCCAGCAAUGCCGCGUGAGUGAUGAAGGCCUUAGGGUUGUAAAGCUCUAUUACCCGGGAAGAUAAUGACGGUACCGGGAGAAUAAGCCCCGGCUAACUCCGUG